This 90-nucleotide microRNA precursor is filed under the name Saimiri boliviensis boliviensis (Bolivian squirrel monkey). RNAcentral's name for it is "miRNA (ENSSBOG00000011405.1)". Lineage: Eukaryota; Metazoa; Chordata; Mammalia; Primates; Cebidae. The record is from RNAcentral.
UCUAUUAGGUUAGGGCAAAAGUAAUUGCGGUUUUUGCCAUUACUGUUAAUUGCUGGCAACAAUCACAAUUACUUUUGCACCAACUUAAUA